CUCUCCCUACAGAGUGGAGAAUCAGUGGGAGGGGCUAUGAAGGAGGCUGGGGCAUCAACAGAAGCUCGGGCAAGAGAUGCUCAUUCCUCAGUGAUUAGCAGAGAUGGAGAGAAAUGGACAGGACUGAGAUACUGCAAAAACAAACGUCCAUUAACAGGCAAAGGGAUUAAAAAGACCAAAUAAAUAAUCUGGAUAAACAUUAGGAACUUUUGCUUCCAGAAAGAUGGAGAUGUGCUUUUCCUUAUUCUUCCUGCUAAGUAAAAUUUAAAAACUAUGGAUCUUAUAUAUAAAACAAACUCUGAGAAUUUUCAGAGUAAGACUCUGAAAGGUAGAAAGAAGAAAGACCACUAGGGAUCUUUCUAAAAUGCAUAGUCAAACAACUGAAAACUAAAGACAAAAAAAUCUUAAAAGCAGAAAGAAAGAAAUGACACUUUAUCUAUAGGGGAAAUAAUGAUUCUAGUCAUAGCAAAUUACUCAUCAGAAAUCAUGGCAAUCAAGGAAGUAGCCCAACAUCCUUCUGCCAACCCAGAAUUCUGUAUCCAGUU
RNAcentral lists this long non-coding RNA (545 nucleotides) under Mustela putorius furo (domestic ferret). RNAcentral describes it as "lncRNA (ENSMPUG00000027270.1)". The record is from RNAcentral. Lineage: Eukaryota; Metazoa; Chordata; Mammalia; Carnivora; Mustelidae.